This 785-nucleotide ribosomal RNA is filed under the name uncultured bacterium. RNAcentral's name for it is "bacterial SSU rRNA". It matches the Rfam family "Bacterial small subunit ribosomal RNA", at positions 8 to 796 of the family's 1533-position model. The record is from RNAcentral.
AGAGUUUGAUCCUGGCUCAGGAUGAACGCUAGCGGGAGGCUUAACACAUGCAAGUCGAGGGGUAAGGUAGCAAUAUCUGAGACCGGCGCACGGGUGAGUAACGCGUAUGCAACCUGCCCUUUACAGGGGGAUAGCCCGUCGAAAGGCGGAUUAAUACCCCAUAAUAUGGUACCAUCGCAUGAUGGAACCAUAAAAGCUUCGGCGGUAAAGGAUGGGCAUGCGUGACAUUAGCUGGUUGGUAGGGUAACGGCCUACCAAGGCUACGAUGUCUAGGGGUUCUGAGAGGAAGGUCCCCCACACUGGUACUGAGACACGGACCAGACUCCUACGGGAGGCAGCAGUGAGGAAUAUUGGUCAAUGGGCGCGAGCCUGAACCAGCCAUCCCGCGUGCAGGAAGACGGCCCUAUGGGUUGUAAACUGCUUUUGUGCAGGAAGAAUGUGCCCAUCGUGAUGGGUAGUGACGGUACUGCAUGAAUAAGCACCGGCUAACUCCGUGCCAGCAGCCGCGGUAAUACGGAGGAUGCAAGCGUUAUCCGGAUUCAUUGGGUUUAAAGGGUGCGCAGGCGGAAUGAUAAGUCAGUGGUGAAAUCCUACAGCUCAACUGUAGAACUGCCAUUGAUACUGUUGUUCUUGAGUACAUUUGUAGUGGGCGGAAUGUGUCAUGUAGCGGUGAAAUGCUUAGAGAUGACACAGAACACCGAUCGCGAAGGCAGCUCACUAAACUGUAACUGACGCUCAGGCACGAAAGCGUGGGGAUCAAACAGGAUUAGAUACCCUGGUAGUCC